Molecule: small RNA, 535 nt
Filed under: Pan troglodytes (chimpanzee)
Lineage: Eukaryota; Metazoa; Chordata; Mammalia; Primates; Hominidae
Description: processed transcript
Source: RNAcentral
CUGUCUUCUAUAGUAGUGCUUCUGAAACAUGACUGUGCAAAGGAGUCACAUGGGUGAUGUUAAAAUGCAAGUUCUGAUUUCAUUGGAUUUGGGAUGGGGCCCGAGGUGCCGUUUAUUAUUUUAUUUUAUUUUUUUUAAGACAGAGUUUUGCUCUUGUCACCCCGGCUGGAGUACAAUGGCACAAUCUAAGCUCACUGCAACCUCCGCCUCCCAGGUUCAAGCAAUUCUGCCUCACCCUCCCGAGUAGCUGGGAUUACAGGCACCUGCCACCAUGCCUGGCUAAUUUUUGUAUUUUUAGUAGAGAUGGGGUUUCACCAUGUUGGCCAGGCUGGUCUGACGCUCCUGACUUCAAGUGAUCCGGCCUCCCAAAGUGCUGGGAUUACACGCGUGAGGCCAGAAAUUUUAACUCUAAAACGGUAUCACUUCCCAUCUGGAAUUCUGGGCACUGAGGGGAUAGUGAUAGAAAUGGCUUAUCUUUUAAAGGUUUAGAUUCUGAUCCUCCACUUACUAUUCUGUGGCUCAGUUUCAUUAGAUU